GACGAACGCUGGCGGCGUGCUUAACACAUGCAAGUCGAGCGGUAAGGCCCUUUCGGGGGUACACGAGCGGCGAACGGGUGAGUAACACGUGGGCGACCUACCCUCAGCUCCGGGAUAAGCCUGGGAAACUGGGUCUAAUACCGGAUAUGACCUUCCCUCGCAUGGGGGUUGGUGGAAAGUUUUUUCGGUCUGGGAGUGGGCCCGCGGCCUAUCAGCUUGUUGGUGGGGUGAUGGCCUACCAAGGCGACGACGGGAGCCGGCCUGAGAGGGCGACCGGCCACACUGGGACUGAGAUACGGCCCAGACUCCUACGGGAGGCAGCAGUGGGGAAUAUUGCGCAAUGGGCGGAAGCCUGACGCAGCGACGCCGCGUGGGGAUGACGGCCUUCGGUUGUAA
RNAcentral lists this ribosomal RNA (396 nucleotides) under uncultured bacterium. Its description in RNAcentral is "bacterial SSU rRNA". It matches the Rfam family "Bacterial small subunit ribosomal RNA", at positions 28 to 428 of the family's 1533-position model. The record is from RNAcentral.